GGAAGUAAAAGUCGUAACAAGAUUUCCGUAGGUGAACCUGCGGAAGGAUCAUUAUUGAAACUUCAUCCGGGGCGCCGCGGCCCUCAGCACCGGUGGAAACGCCGUGUUGCGGGGGCCGCGCGUGCACUCGUCCAAACCAAACCCCUGUGAACCUUACGGGAUGGCCUGGGUUAGCGCCCGGUGCCGUUCCGCUUUAUACAAACACUUAUCAAAGAAUGAACUGAAGGCGGUCUGACCGCUGGAUAACAAACUGAAACAACUUUCAACAACGGAUCUCUUGGCUCUC
This 286-nucleotide unclassified non-coding RNA is filed under the name plant metagenome. RNAcentral's name for it is "partial contains small subunit ribosomal RNA, internal transcribed spacer 1, and 5.8S ribosomal RNA". The stretch from base 1 to 54 matches the Rfam family "Eukaryotic small subunit ribosomal RNA", at positions 1778 to 1831 of the family's 1831-position model. The record is from RNAcentral.